Molecule: ribosomal RNA, 441 nt
Filed under: uncultured bacterium
Lineage: Bacteria
Description: partial 16S ribosomal RNA
Rfam family: Bacterial small subunit ribosomal RNA
Source: RNAcentral
CCUACGGGUGGCAGCAGUGGGGAAUAUUGCACAAUGGGGGAAACCCUGAUGCAGCAACGCCGCGUGAAGGAAGACGGCUUUCUGAUUGUUAACUUUUGUUUUUAGUGAAGAAAAAUGUCGGUAGCUAAGGAGCAAGCCACGGCUAACUACGUGCCAGCAGCCGCGGUAAUACGGAGGUGGCAAGCGUUUUCCGGAAUGACUGGGUUUAAAGGGAGCGCAGGCGGGAAGCCAAGUCAGCUGUGAAAACUACGGGCUUAACUUGUAGACUGCAGUUGAAACGGGUUGUCUUGAGUGAAGUAGAGGUUGGCGGAAUGCGGGGUGUAGCGGUGAAAUGCGUAGAUAUUCCGAAGAACUCCGGUGGCGAAGGCAGCCAACUGGGCUUUAACUGACGCUGAGGCUCGAAAGUGUGGGGAGCAAACAGGAUUAGAUACCCGUGUAGUC